UACGUAGGUGGCAAGCGUUGUCCGGAUUUACUGGGCGUAAAGAGCGCGCAGGCGGUCGAUUUAGUCGCGUGUGAAAGCCCCCGGCUCAACUGGGGAGGGUCACGCGAUACUGAUCGACUCGAAGGCAGGAGAGGGUAGUGGAAUUCCCGGUGUAGUGGUGAAAUGCGUAGAUAUCGGGAGGAACACCAGUGGCGAAGGCGAAUCACUGGACCGCAUCUGACGCUGAGGCGCGAAAGCUAGGGGAGCAAACAGG
RNAcentral lists this ribosomal RNA (253 nucleotides) under uncultured bacterium. RNAcentral's name for it is "partial 16S ribosomal RNA". It matches the Rfam family "Bacterial small subunit ribosomal RNA", at positions 524 to 776 of the family's 1533-position model. The record is from RNAcentral.